AACUUGUUGAAUCUGUGCUGAGAUUUCGUCAGACACCAACCCGUUAGGGCUGUUCAAACUUCCAAGAUAAGUGAAGUU
This is a non-coding RNA of Schistosoma rodhaini, 78 nucleotides long. The record is from Rfam. NCBI's taxonomy places the organism in Eukaryota, Metazoa, Platyhelminthes, Trematoda, Strigeidida, Schistosomatidae.